RNAcentral lists this ribosomal RNA (440 nucleotides) under uncultured bacterium. RNAcentral describes it as "partial 16S ribosomal RNA". It matches the Rfam family "Bacterial small subunit ribosomal RNA", at positions 338 to 795 of the family's 1533-position model. The record is from RNAcentral.
CCUACGGGUGGCAGCAGUGGGGAAUAUUGCACAAUGGGCGAAACCCUGAAGCAGCGACGCCGCGUGAGUGAAGAAGUACUUCGGGAUGUAAAACUCUAUUAGCAGGGGAGAAAAUGACGGUACCUGACUAAGAAGCCCCGGCUAACUACGAACCAGCAGCCGCGGUCAUACGUAGGGGGCAAGCGUUAGCCGGAUUUACUGGGUGUAAAGGGAGCGUAGACGGCGAGACAAGUCAGAAGUGAAAGUCCAGGGCUCAACCCUGGGCCUGCUUUUGAAACUGUCGGGCUGGAGUGCAGGAGAGGUAAGCGGAAUUCCUAGUGUAGCGGUGAAAUGCGUAGAUAUUAGGAGGAACACCAGUGGCGAAGGCGGCUUACUGGCCUGUAACUGACGUUGAGGCUCGAAAGCGUGGGGAGCAAACAGGAUUAGAUACCCCGGUAGUC